Mizuhopecten yessoensis (Yesso scallop) is the source of this 64-nucleotide non-coding RNA. Lineage: Eukaryota; Metazoa; Mollusca; Bivalvia; Pectinida; Pectinidae. The record is from the annotation of a RefSeq genome assembly.
GUUCCCUUAGUGUAUAAACACUUCUGCCUAUGUUCAGAGAAUGGGGGUCCGCCUCCAGGGGUCA